UGCAGCCCGGCCGGGGCAGCUCCGCAGCGAACCGGGGCUCCUGCGGGGUGCGGCCCGCUAGGGCACGGCUUUCUGCUGACGUUCAACGUGCUGAAUGCGGGGUUUUCAAAAACAGCCUGCAGACGUUGACGUUUAAACUCUGAAUUCUGUUUCUUCCUGUUGGAAUUCAAACAGUGGCUGGGUCUUUUCAGCAGUUCAUAUCUAAGUUCUUAACUCCUUAUGCAUCGGCUCCAGUUCCAAUACGAGGAACGAAUACUCAUAAGCUUGCAGUGAAGAAGAAAACGUAUAUCUGUGUUUACAUGCAGUAACGGUGCUGUGAUAUGAUCCCAGCAGCACUCAUACUGCAAAUCCUGCAUAAGGAACAGUUCAGUGCCAGCACCUGGACUCCAGGGAGCAGCCACACACCCAUCCCUGGAGUUAUCCAGAGCAAGCCAUGAGCAGCACCUACCGGCACCUCCACUUCCUCUUCACAGAACAUCGCUUAACAACACCCACCAUCUGUAUCUUCCUACAGCCACACAAGUGUUCUCACAAAGAAGGAACACGCAAGACUGUGCCGUAUGGUGCUGAGCACGUGAAAUCUACAGAAUGUUCUUUGAUAUAUCUGCUACUCAUUCAGAAAAAAAUACUGUUAAAACAUUUCUAUAGGAAUACACCCCAAAUGACUGCAAACAUCACAAGUGACAUGCACAGCUAAGCAAAACCAAAGUGUAGCACAAUCCCAGAAGGAAAUAAGCAAGGACUGAAAAAGGAAGUGAAAAAAGUACUCUUGCUUUUACAGUUUUACAGUACCCAGAACUUAAUUAGUAAACACACUCUUCCAGUUCAAAAUUAAGGGCAUUUUUACUUGACUCUUUCAGCUUCUAUUCUUCACAAAAACUUCCCAAAACACUCAUAUGUCCUGUAAUUACUACAAAGACACCUUUUGGAAGAUCCCUACUUGUAUGGCCCUACUGUGGGAACUCUGUUUCUGAACAGCACUUACACCACGUGCUGUAAUUCAACAUUGCUUCAUCAAUAGAGAUGUACAACCUGAUAAACACUAAGGUAGUUCUCUAUAUCCUACAUUCCUCAGCACUCUUAAACAAACUUGAUAUACUUCUAGUACCUAGAAAGAGCAGAUAAUACUCUUUACUGGAUCUGACUAUUACCAAGCUAAGUUAAAGUAGUCUUUUCUUAAACAAACAUACCAGAGUUUCUUAGUUUUGAAAAAAUACUUCAGGUUCAUAAAAAAAAAAAAACUCUUACAGUUACUCAAAAGAAAUAUUAGCUAUAAUAAGAGCUUUUAAGAUCUUAAAACAUCAAUACUUAAAAAAAAAAACAAAAAACUAAAAACCACAAAGCUAGGUACCAGGCAGAUAGCCUACAGACUGCUUACAAAAAUUACAAACAGAACUAAUAUAUCUUACCUUAAAAAAAAAAUAGAAAAUUGCUAAAUUACCUGUCCAAGAGAUAAGCAAAAAGCAACAAACAACCUUCACAAGCCAUUUCAACAUCCAAAACUAACAUGCAGACCCUUAUAUAGUUGAAAACUCCCAGAAAGCUGUGUGAGUUAAUAGGUGGGGUGAGGGCCCUAAGCAGCCCCACCUGGGGGCCUCACCUACACCGCACCAGAACCUAUAUAAGCACAGCCCCAAGGUAACUGGAUUUGUGCUUUUUGUUGUUGGGUAGAAGGUAUUUUUGCUUGUUUGUUUGUCUGGUUGUUUGUUUUCUGUUGUUGAGUAGUUUAAUUUCUUUGUGAUAUUGGGUUUCAGCUGGAAUUGGAGUUACAGCUCUAUCAUAAAAUUGUUUUGUUAGAAAUACAAUUGCUAAGUCAUGUUUACAUAUGGCUUUUGUCAUUAGGCUGUUUUUGUGUGGUUUAAGUUUUGACUUUUUGUUGUAGGUCCUAUUUUCUCUGCUUAUGUGUAGUAUAUGUACUUGCCUUACUAAUUUUCUUGUUUAGGUACUAUAGUAUGUGUACUUCCCUUAUUAACUGUAUUCCUCUAUUCAGUUCUUUUUUUAUAAGGGAAGUUUUUGCUCUUACUGUUCUCUUUUAACCUGAGCUGUUUAGUAUUAAAAUGAGGAAAUACUUCUGCAAUUAUCUCACAGACUUUGGUUCAGGUAUAACCUUUACUUUUAAGCUUUACUUUUUACAUUCAACUGUUGUAUAUUCAUAUUCUUAAAGUAAAGAAUUGCAGUCUUCGUUGAUUAAAGUUUAUGAUGAAAAUCAAAGGCAUGAUUUUCUGUUUUUAUAGACUCUUUAAUCAAAAUGUACUCAAAAUAAUGAAGAAUUUCCUUGAAAAAGGGUAAAUACUGAGUUAUCACUCAUUGAGUCAAAAUCCUGUAUUAUCACUUUCAUAAGGUUUCUGCAAGUUUAAAGUACAGAAUUUCAUUGUAGGAGGACCUAAUACACUUCAAAUAAAAGGGAUUUCUUAUUAAAUAAAUAUAAAACAAAGUUUUGAGGAAAUCAGUAUCUUCAAACAUCAUAGUUACAUUCAGAUAGAACAGGUAACUCAAAAGUAGUCUUUUUUUUCUGAAGAAUGUAAGACUUGAGUCAUGAAAUACUAAGAAUGAAAAGAAAUCUAUUUUUUGGACAGGCAACUGUUUGUAGGCAAAAUCAAUGUCUUGAGGCUUUUAAAAUACUGUACAGCAUUUGUGUGUAUCUUUAGAGAUGGGGUGUUACUUAAGUAACCUGUGUUUCUCUGGUAUCCUUUCUGUAGUGCUACUUCCCUGCUGGGCACUCUUAUUCUUGCCUUGCAGCUUUUUUUCCCCUGAGAAUAACAGUAUUUGGAACUGGUGGAAUUAUUUUUCCUUUGUUUUGGCUUUAGCAUGUUUUCUGGUCUUGAACUGGUAUGAUAUUUAGGCUAUAACCUGCACCCAGAUCAGCGCUUUCAACAGUGGCAGUUGUAAGCACUGUAACUCUGUUGUCAAAGAAAUGAAAUUGGAUGUUUGAAACUAAAUUAAACUGAAAAAUGACCUCAGUGGAAACAAGUAUGAUGUGGUUAAGUAAGCUCUGUUGUAUUACUUGUACUGCUUAAAAUAAAGUCCUAGUCCUCCUAAAGUAUUGCUUGUAAAGUCUCAGUCCUCCAAAAAUGCUUGAAUGUAUUCAGUAUUAACCCACACAGGCAGACUCUGAUUUAUCAGUUGGAUGGUCACUCCGUUGUGUGUGUGUGUGUGUUUGAAGCUGCGUGAUAAAUAAAGCUCAGGUAACAGCCCCUGUUCUACAAAGUGUUCUGUGUCCUUCAAGAGCCUGAUCUGUGAAGGAAAGCUGUCUUUAGAGUCUUAAUACAGCAGAAGCAUACCCAAAUUAGCCUCUGCUAACAAAUCACAGUGUCCUGAAUCACACAACACUUCUGUAUUCUGGCACCAGUCUUAACAAAGGCAUGGUACCUCUUGUCAGGAUGAAACAAUUUGGAACCACAUGCUAGGAAAGGCAGUUUGGAGGAAUCACAGGAUCUGAAUUUAUCAUUGCAUUUUUGUAGAAGCUAGUAAGGGUCCAAAGUGUUGGCCUUGAAAAAUUUUGUGCUGGUGGAGAUUUAAUUAACUUGGCUUGAAACUAGAGCACAGCCAGUAUUCAUUUUAUCCCAAACCAAACAAUCCUUCAGCUGUGACUUUUUUACUGUUUUGACAUAUUCUAAUUUAUCUUGUGUAUAUCCCGAGGAUCAUUCAGUCAGAUGACAUAAACUGGUUGCUUGUUCUUAAUGGCCUUUUUUUGAACUGUGUUGCAGAAUUGGGUAUGAUUUCAUGAAAAACUAUUUAUCUUCACACUAGUCCACAGUAUUAAGCCAGAAAUGGCUUUUGGCUCCUGCAGUGGGUAAUACACAGAAUUCAAAGAUAUGAUAUUAGGUGAGGAUGCUGCUUGACUCACAGAUGACCUUUGUGGCUGUGCAGGAGGCUACUCAUACUGAAGUCACACUGCUUAAACUUGCUGCACACGCCUGUACUACUUCGUUUAUGGGGAAACAAGGGCAAAUGAAAAAUGAAUUUCUUGUUGCUUCACACCUUAAAUAAACAGGUAGAUGAAUUAAAUAUAACCUGCAUUUUCAGUCUGUAAAUAUGAGUACUAUAAGCAGAGUUGUAGCUCUGUGUUGUGGCUGAUUUUCCCACAAAACUUUUAACAGCAUAAUGUGUGAUAGAGAUUAUAAUUGUCCUGAUACAUUUAUCAUAGUCAAACCUGCUACAACUAGCUUUUCUUCCUUUUUCCCUCAGGCAGAGUAAGUGCAUCUUUUCUUCUUCUCUUACUUUUGGGCUAUUGACAGCUACAAGGCUAUUAGGAAAAAAAGCCAGUGUCCCACUUAAUUUAUCUAUUUGUUUUGAUUGUUUCUUAAUCAUCCCUAUCGGGUGUUACUGCACUUCAGUUGAAUUAUAACAGAUAAUUGUUCUAUUAACUUGUGUGAAUUUCAGCUAACAAAUAAUUUUUAUUAGAUGGUAAAUAUUUUGUUUGGGUACACAUGCAUCUAGCUGUAUAUGAUUAAAAAGUAUUGCCAAAAUGCAGUAUUUGUUAUUAUGCUGCUAGGAAAAAGCUGCCACUCAUUGCCUGCAAAUUCCUGAGAGUGCCCAUGUAUUGUCUUACUGAUUUUGUGGAAGUGAUUAUCUGAUGCUGAGCAUAUGAAUGGCAUGAGCUGACAACAUUGAGUAAAAUUGAGGCCAAGUAAAAUGUGUUCCAGGUAUUUGGUGUUAAUUUUUGGAUGUUUCUAGUGUAUAUAUUGUGUUAAUAUUUAAGUACAGUGUUUG
This is a non-coding RNA of Meleagris gallopavo (turkey), 4713 nucleotides long. Lineage: Eukaryota; Metazoa; Chordata; Aves; Galliformes; Phasianidae. The record is from RefSeq and is a predicted model, not a curated record.